Molecule: unclassified non-coding RNA, 252 nt
Filed under: Hevea brasiliensis (rubber tree)
Lineage: Eukaryota; Viridiplantae; Streptophyta; Magnoliopsida; Malpighiales; Euphorbiaceae
Source: RNAcentral
AUUGCACUAGAGAAUACGAAUCAUAGGGGCUCUGAAGGUGGACAGGGUGAUGUUCAUGUUGAGGGCGAGGCACUCCAUAAUAGUAGGCCAUCUGGAAAUUUGAGUAUGCAGGCACAGCCAUAUGGUGAUAAUACCAAGGCAGGUUCGGAUUAUUCAUCUUCUGAAAGGAGUUAGACCAAGUUUGUGCUGUGAACCCAUGUCCUUCUGGAGGAAUACUAGAUGUGGGUUGUAGAGUUUAAAUGAGAUGUUAGU